CGCUAUCACUCCUACGGGAGGCAGCAGUGGGGAAUAUUGCACAAUGGGCGCAAGCCUGAUGCAGCCAUGCCGCGUGUAUGAAGAAGGCCUUCGGGUUGUAAAGUACUUUCAGCAGUGAGGAAGGCAGGUACGUUAAUAGCGUGCUUGUUUGACGUUAGCUGCAGAAGAAGCACCGGCUAACUCCGUGCCAGCAGCCGCGGUAAUACGGAGGGUGCGAGCGUUAAUCGGAAUUACUGGGCGUAAAGCGCAUGCAGGCGGCCUGUUAAGUCAGAUGUGAAAGCCCGGGGCUUAACCUCGGAAUUGCAUUUGAAACUGGCAGGCUAGAGUCUUGUAGAGGGGGUAGAAUUUCAGGUGUAGCGGUGAAAUGCGUAGAGAUCUGAAGGAAUACCAGUGGCGAAGGCGGCCCCCUGGACAAAGACUGACGCUCAGAUGCGAAAGCGUGGGGAGCAAACAGGAUUAGAUACCCUGGUAG
This 472-nucleotide ribosomal RNA is filed under the name uncultured bacterium. Its description in RNAcentral is "bacterial SSU rRNA". It matches the Rfam family "Bacterial small subunit ribosomal RNA", at positions 328 to 793 of the family's 1533-position model. The record is from RNAcentral.